Molecule: long non-coding RNA, 1398 nt
Filed under: Phascolarctos cinereus (koala)
Lineage: Eukaryota; Metazoa; Chordata; Mammalia; Diprotodontia; Phascolarctidae
Description: lncRNA (ENSPCIG00000034841.1)
Source: RNAcentral
ACAGAGAUAAACAGAAGAAAUAGCUAAUACACAUAAUGCUAUGAAUUUAUAGAACAACUUUAUCCUCGCUGAUCAGUCCAAGGGCUUCUUUCACAAAGGGCUCUGGGUACCUCUACUUGUGAUCAGCUUCCCAACUGCACCGAUGCUAUCUCUCUUUGAAAAAAACCAAAGAAACAUUUUUUGGUCUCGAAUAGUGAUACUCGGUUUAUUUUAGCUUUAUUUGUGCCUUUUGUUUUUAUAAUCUUUUUCCAAUUACCCAUUCCCUGACAAAGAACUCUCCUUGGUUCUCAAAGACAAACGAUCAAGCAGAAGUCACUUACACCAUCCUGACAGCUCCAGUGACAAUCAGCUCCCGUAGCCCCUCACAUUGGUCUGCUGAGAUGGGGGAUUUGUGUUGGCUGCAGGGAUGUGCUGGUCAAUGUUAAACAGCUAGGUCUCUGAAAAAUAAGCUAAUCUGCAUCAUUAACAUUUUUUCCAUCACUUUCUUAAGUCUAGACAGUCAAUGAAACAAUAAGUCAAGCCCUGAAUUUUUAGCAUUUACCAAUUUCUGAGGUGUCAAUGCUCACAUGUUAGUACUAUGUUGGCACCAUGGGUGAUACAGGGAAGCAUAGUUCCUGACCUCUGGGAGCUCAUAGUGUAGUUGGGGAGAGAGAAUUAACCACAUGGAAAUAAGUACUUUAUCCAACUAACUACAGGACAAUCUGGGUAAUACCAUGUUAAUGACAGAGGAUGGAGGCACUCAGCCAAUAUAUCUGGGCCAAGUCAAACCCCACUUAUACCUCAAAUAUUCAGGUAAACAAAGCCAAUAUAAGGCUUUGGCCAAGUUUGGGAGAUAAUUGCUUUUUCUCUUCAUUUUAGUAGGUCAUCUAUAGGCUGGCCCUGUGGUGCUGAAGAGAUGGGGAUCCAGCUACUGCUGAAACUUGAAAGGAGGUGAAUGUGUUGGCAUUCAAGUUCUACUUGGGAGAUAUUAUCUUUCUAUUCUGCCACUCCACCUUCUUUUCACAGCAAACUGAAGAUGGAAGGGGCGGUGGGCAGCAAAUGGGUUGUGAUUGCCUCUGAAACAGUUUGUUAACAGGUUUACUGUGGGGGUGCUCCUGGUUUGCAGAGGUUGUCUUGUGGCCAGCUGAAAUGCAUGGCAGGGCAAAGCUAGCAAUGUGCUCACCAUCCGUCACCAAGCUGGGGGCCAAUAGAGACCACACUCACUUUCCAUUCUCUGCUAGUUUCUAUAAAUUGCACACAGAUGCACAUGACUGGCCUCCUUAAGGGACUUGGGAUUCUGAAUACAGAAAUGGAACUUGAGGCCCAUUAUGCUGAAGCUUAUGCAGGAAUAAUGAGGGGAAAGAUACUGUAAUGGGAGUUUCUGCGUCUAAUAAAGGGAAAUUUAUUCAGAGAGUUCCA